This is a non-coding RNA of Salvia hispanica, 193 nucleotides long. The record is from RefSeq and is a predicted model, not a curated record. Lineage: Eukaryota; Viridiplantae; Streptophyta; Magnoliopsida; Lamiales; Lamiaceae.
GGUUUGCAUGAUGAAAUUCAAAUACAUGAUUCAAUAUCUACUAGCAUUGGAAUUUUUACUGUUACUCACUUCAAAUCCACUCCAUUUCAUGGCCCGAGGAAGACAGAUAUCGAAACAGUCCGAUUUCACAAUAAGAAUUAAUGAAGAAAAGGUGAUGAAAAUGGGAGUGAUAGGAUCAAAGCCUCCAAGAUGU